CACGGGGGGAGCAAGCGUUGUUCGGAAUUACUGGGCGUAAAGGGCGCGUAGGUGGCCUUCUAAGUUGAGCGUGAAAUCCCUGGGCUCAACCCAGGAACUGCGUCCAAGACUGGGAGGCUUGAAUCCGGGAGAGGGAUGCGGAAUUCCAGGUGUAGCGGUGAAAUGCGUAGAUAUCUGGAGGAACACCGGUGGCGAAGGCGGCAUCCUGGACCGGUAUUGACACUGAGGCGCGAAAGCCAGGGGAGCAAACGGG
This 253-nucleotide ribosomal RNA is filed under the name uncultured bacterium. Its description in RNAcentral is "partial 16S ribosomal RNA". It matches the Rfam family "Bacterial small subunit ribosomal RNA", at positions 524 to 776 of the family's 1533-position model. The record is from RNAcentral.